AUAGGAGACUCAGAGCUGCAUAUCAAUAAGCGGAGGAAAAGAAACUAACAAGGAUUCCCUUAGUAACGGCGAGUGAAGCGGGAAGAGCUCAAAUUUGAAAUCUUCAAGGUUUUACCUUGACGAAUUGUAGUUUAAAGAAGUGUUUUCUGUUAGAUGAGUAGGCAAAAGUUCCUUGGAAUAGGGACAUCAUAGAGGGUGAGAAUCCCGUAUUUGGUUAUUCAUUCUAGCUUUGUGAUACACUUUCAAAGAGUCGGGUUGUUUGGGAAUGCAGUCCAAAAUGGGUGGUAAAUUUCAUCUAAAGCUAAAUAUUGGCGAGAGACCGAUAGCGAACAAGUACCGUGAGGGAAAGAUGAAAAGAACUUUGAAAAGAGAGUUAAACAGUACGUGAAAUUGUCAAAAGGGAAGCGUUUGACACCAGUGUUGUUUAGUUGAAAAUCAAUUCAAUAGUUUUUGAUUUUAAGUAGUAUUGACUUCAUCAGCUUGCUGCUUUUUUCUCUGAAAUUAUUGAAUGCACUUUUCAGUUAACAAGUCAACAUCAGUUUCUUUUGUUGUAAAAAGGUGAGAGGAAGGUGGCUUGCGCUUCGGCUCAAGUGUUUAUAGCCUUUUACCCCUGCAAUCGAAGAGACUGAGGUCUGCAGCGUAGAUCCUUCGGGGUUAGAUACAUUUGUGCUAAGUUGUAGCUUUUCAUAGACAACUUGUUGACUAUGUUUAGUCAUGCGGCUUACUCGCUUAUGCUAUUUUACCUACGCUUAGGAUGUUGAAGUCAUCGUAUCGCGC
This 777-nucleotide ribosomal RNA is filed under the name uncultured Neocallimastigales. RNAcentral's name for it is "partial large subunit ribosomal RNA". It matches the Rfam family "Eukaryotic large subunit ribosomal RNA", at positions 18 to 645 of the family's 3401-position model. The record is from RNAcentral. Lineage: Eukaryota; Fungi; Neocallimastigomycota; Neocallimastigomycetes; Neocallimastigales.